RNAcentral lists this long non-coding RNA (600 nucleotides) under Heterocephalus glaber (naked mole-rat). RNAcentral describes it as "lncRNA (ENSHGLG00100036288.1)". Lineage: Eukaryota; Metazoa; Chordata; Mammalia; Rodentia; Bathyergidae. The record is from RNAcentral.
CGGCACGCAGAGAAGACAAGUUAGAUCCGGCUACGAGACUUAAAGGCGGAGGGAACUGCUUGGACCGCAGCACAGGGCGGAUCAGACCGGUAGUGCUUCCUGUUGUGAGCCGCGCAACCCUGCCGGUUUCGCUUCCUAGAAAUGACGAGAUGGGCGUGCUCCUGACUCUUGACCAUUGGGAAAUCUUCCCAGCCUGGAAUUGUUCCUUUGCUGCUUUUGCUACCCUGUGGGUGCCAUGUUUUAUCUCCUCUGCGAUACCUGUUUGCCAUCCCUGCCUUGGAGCCAGGUGAUUAUGGACUGAAACUUCUACAAAUUUGCACGUUGUUCAGAAUACUAAGAAGCUCCUGGCCAGACAUGGUGGUACAAGCCUAUAAGCCCAGCACUCAGGAGGCAGAGGCAAGAGGAUCACUGAGUUCAAAGCCAGGCUGAACUACAUAGUAAGACCCUGUCUCAAAAAAAAAAAAAGCUCCUGAUAAAAGAGGAAGACGAGAGAGGUAACAAGAAUGGCCUGCCACACAGGAAAGGAAAACUAAGCACUUGUACUGUCAGAUGGCAGGUGUUGUGUCCCAGCAAAGAGAAAGCAGCUGAGAUAAGCCAUGA